RNAcentral lists this transfer RNA (74 nucleotides) under Lasiosphaeria miniovina. It matches the Rfam family "tRNA". Rfam says of the family: Transfer RNA (tRNA) molecules are approximately 80 nucleotides in length. Their secondary structure includes four short double-helical elements and three loops (D, anti-codon, and T loops). Lineage: Eukaryota; Fungi; Ascomycota; Sordariomycetes; Sordariales; Lasiosphaeriaceae. The record is from Rfam by way of RNAcentral.
GGUCGGAUGGUGUAGUUGGUUAUCACGUCAGUCUAACACACUGAAGGUCUCCGGUUCAAGCCCGGGUCUGGUCA